CAAAGCGUUUGGAUUCUGAAUCG
RNAcentral lists this microRNA (23 nucleotides) under Tribolium castaneum (red flour beetle). RNAcentral's name for it is "tca-miR-927a-3p". Its record names the gene tca-miR-927a-3p. Lineage: Eukaryota; Metazoa; Arthropoda; Insecta; Coleoptera; Tenebrionidae. The record is from miRBase by way of RNAcentral.